CUAAAACUACAGCCCUGCAGUCUUUUGAUAUAAAGUAGCCCUAGUUCUGCUCUUCAUUUUUGUGUAUUAGUCAUUUUUUAGGUCUUAAAGAAUUUGUGAUUGUGGGUUUGAAAAUGCUUUAUUUCUAUGAAGUUUGAGAGUUUGUUUGGAGCUGUUUGAGUUAUUGGAAUACUAUUCUAUUGAGGACUUAUUGUUGAUCUGAUGUUACUAUUGUUGCUGAUUUCGUCUAAGUUUUAACUCAACUUCUUGAUUUUAUUUUUCCUUAUUCAGGCACACACCCUGAUACCAAAUGUAAAGGCCGA
RNAcentral lists this long non-coding RNA (302 nucleotides) under Nicotiana benthamiana. Its description in RNAcentral is "long non-coding RNA (NBEN_LNC038138)". Lineage: Eukaryota; Viridiplantae; Streptophyta; Magnoliopsida; Solanales; Solanaceae. The record is from RNAcentral.